AGGAGGGAGUUACACAAGGACAUGUAUACAGGAGGUGGGGAUCUCAAGGAGCCACUGAGGGGAAAAGAUGAGGACCCUGACAGGGUCAGUGCCUUUUCCAGAAUCACAGGGACUGGUCAAAAGGCAGAACCAAGCAUGAAUCUAGCUCCAUGUCCUUAAAGUUGGGGUUCUGGCUGCACCCAGGCUUUCUGAGGGGGUCUGGAAAAGGUUGUGUUAUUGUACCUGCACAGACAUGGAGAUGGUGUGGGGGUGAGGGUGAACAGGAGGGUGACAGGAGGCAUUCCAGCACAUUCUUGUCUGAGGAGGACCCCAGGUCAGGGCAACCCACUGAGUGCACCCCUGUCCACAUUGCACCCAGUGGAGAGGGAGAGAAUGGCAGAGCCUAGAGGUAAGGGUGGGUUCUGACCUUCUAGGCCAAAGCUCCAAUCCAUUCUGUCUGGUUUGCUUUGGAAAUUAGCCUAUGAUCUUGGGAAGCUUUUGCCCACCCUUCCCAUAUUCUGGGUCUCCAGAAUGUGAACACUGGUACACACACACACACACACACACACACACACACACCCCAGUAAGGACGGUGGGGUGGGACCUGAGGAGCUGCAGGUUCAGAGGUGGUGAAGAGAUGACGAAAAUACGGUUGGAAGCAUUUCUUAUGUGUGAUACUACUCCUCCAAUUUCAUAGGUAUCAUCCCAAAUAUGCCUGAGGACAUCCCGAGGAAGUACAUGCUAGAAUAAUCUCCAUUGCACAGGAAGGACACAGACCAUCCCUGAAGGGCACAAUGGCUUAUCCAGGGUCAAAAUCAGAACUGCACACCAGAGAUGGGGCAGGAGUUGAGUGAUGACAUCCUCUGCUCAACUUCCGUGAAGGACAGGAAUAUGCCCCACACCACCAACAGGAUGCAGGACCGAAGCGGCUCAGGGGGAGUGCAGGGUAAAAAUGCCUCAACCGUGAAUAAGAAUGAGACCAGUGUGAUGUGGACCAUCCAGGCAGGCUUGCUGGAUAAGCAAGUGUAGCAUCCUGUGCCUGUCUUCCUGGGCAGAGACCGCUGCCCCCCCCCACCCCCAUGUCUCCAUGUUCCUGGACAUGUACAGAACUUUUCCACUACUGAAAAGGUGCUGGAUCUGUUGAUUCCAAGGUAUGGAUGCAUCCUUCCUGAGAUGGGAUGAAGAUGGCAGACCCCUGGAGCAGCAGAAAAUGGCCAUCUUCUCCAUUCUGGGCACCUGGAUGGCCCACUCCCCUGAGGAUUUUUUCCAACCUGCAGAAUUUCCCUGCCUGAAGAUGCUGCUGGCAUACAUGGGGCUUAGCAUGCUGGGCUCACACCUGGAGCACCAUACGUCUGUUUUCCUCUCAUAGCUGGGACACAUGGAGCCCAAUGAGCCAGAGGUUGAGGCUAUAGCACCCGUUCCGGAGCAGGAUCCAGAACCAACUCAAGAGCUAGCCCCAGCUCCCACUGUGGUGCCUGCUGCAGCUUCAGAGCCCGAGGUGGCUGAAGCCAUCACUCCUGCUGGAGCUCAGCAAUUAGGAAAAGCAGUGACCCUCCCUGCAGUGUCAGAGCCAGUGCAGGUGGUAGUUAUAGCUCUGAUUCACUGUCAGGAGCUGGAAGAACCACCUGCACCUUUGGCAGCCCUGGAGCAUGAGCAGGCCCCAGCCCCAGCUACUGGGGUUACGGAAGGACUAGAACAACCACUUGCUACAGCUGAACAACCAGCCUCAGCUCCCAAGCAGUGGCUCGUGUCGGCUGCAGCCCCAAAGGAUGGCUUCCCCUCCCCUGUCGUUGCUUUUUUUUUUUUUGAAAUUUUUGUUUUUUUUUCAGAUAUGGAAUGGC
Long non-coding RNA from Prionailurus viverrinus (fishing cat), 1820 nucleotides. RefSeq lists it as uncharacterized. Lineage: Eukaryota; Metazoa; Chordata; Mammalia; Carnivora; Felidae. The record is from RefSeq and is a predicted model, not a curated record. The transcript has 6 exons.